UCUCCCUGUCUCUCUGAUUCAUGGAUUUGUAUUUAUUCGCUUUUUAAUAAUUUGUCACAGUCAUUUUUGGUGCUCAAAACGUCUAUAUUGCAGCCAGCAGACCCCCUUGAAGCUGGCCUCCUUGUGUCUUUUUGUAACAUGCCCAUUAGUCUUUAAGCACUUCUUUGCUUUCUGGUACUAGAUAUUCCAGGCAUAAUUUGUACUUUUCCUACUCCAGUCAUGGAAUUCAGCCAUUUCCACAGGAAUCUCUGGUUUUUUCAAAUACCAGUAAGAAAGUACUUAGAAACCAAGACCUGGAAUUAGGAAAGCUAACUUCUGCCAGGGUAUUGUUGCUUUCAGAGCCUUUCAGUGGACAGAACUAAGAAAUAUAUAUAUAUAUAUAUAUAUAUAUAUUUUAUUUAUUUAUUUAUUUAUUUUGAGACAGAGUCUUGCUCUUGUCGCCCAGGCUGGAGUGCAAUGACCUGAUCUUGACUCACUGCAACCUCCACCUCCCAGGUUCAAGCGAUUCUCCUGCUUCAGCCUCCUGAGUAGCUGGGAUUACAGGCGUCAGCCACUAUGCCCGGCCAAGAAAUAUGUUUUUUAAAAAACACUUAUAUCAAUAAUUCCAAUUCAAAUUUACAUUACAGGAUUUUUGCUGUUUACUUCUUUUAUUUAUUAUACUGAAAAUCUUGGUUCCUAAUAACAUUAACAUAAUUACUUAUUUUCUUUGUCUUACAAUGUGUAAAAAUGAUUCAAAGUUAUAAUAUUAAAUAUUAAUAU
RNAcentral lists this small RNA (759 nucleotides) under Pongo abelii (Sumatran orangutan). RNAcentral describes it as "sense intronic". The record is from RNAcentral. Lineage: Eukaryota; Metazoa; Chordata; Mammalia; Primates; Hominidae.